GUCAGGGAGACGAGAAGAGACUAAAUAUAGCCAUGUAUAAACCAUCAGCACUGUCGAAAACAACUACAAGCUUCACAUCAACAGGAAUGCUCGGCACCAGGAUCUACUUAAUAGUCACAGCAAGAAGACUUGGAGUCAUCCCAGAAUUCACACUUUUCCCCUCUUCACUCUUCCCCCUCCACCUCCAGUCAGUUGCGAAGUUUUGUCAUCCUGACUCCUAAAUAUCUCCUGACAUCUCUUUCUGUCUAACUCCCAUUCUGGUUCAAGUCCCUCCUCACUUGCCUGAGUAGGAGAUAAAUGAACUUACCAAACUGUC
Phacochoerus africanus (Common warthog) is the source of this 316-nucleotide long non-coding RNA. RefSeq lists it as uncharacterized. Lineage: Eukaryota; Metazoa; Chordata; Mammalia; Artiodactyla; Suidae. The record is from RefSeq and is a predicted model, not a curated record. The transcript is spliced from 2 exons.